AUUGAACGCUGGCGGCAUGCCUUACACAUGCAAGACGAACGGUAACGGGCCUUCGGGUGCCGACGAGUGGCGAACGGGUGAGUAAUACAUCGGAACGUGCCCGAUCGUGGGGGAUAACGAGGCGAAAGCUUUGCUAAUACCGCAUACGAUCUACGGAUGAAAGCAGGGGACCGCAAGGCCUUGCGCGGACGGAGCGGCCGAUGGCAGCUUAGGUAGUUGGUGGGAUAAAAGCUUACCAAGCCGACGAUCUGUAGCUGGUCUGAGAGGAUGAUCAGCCACACUGGGACUGAGACACGGCCCAGACUCCUACGGGAGGCAGCAGUGGGGAAUUUUGGACAAUGGGCGCAAGCCUGAUCCAGCCAUGCCGCGUGCAGGAUGAAGGCCUUCGGGUUGUAAACUGCUUUUGUACGGAACGAAAAGCCUUCUUUUAAUACAGGAGGGUCAUGACGGUACCGUAAGAAUAAGCACCGGCUAACUACGUG
This 482-nucleotide ribosomal RNA is filed under the name uncultured bacterium. RNAcentral describes it as "partial 16S ribosomal RNA". It matches the Rfam family "Bacterial small subunit ribosomal RNA", at positions 30 to 507 of the family's 1533-position model. The record is from RNAcentral.